This 502-nucleotide ribosomal RNA is filed under the name uncultured bacterium. RNAcentral's name for it is "partial 16S ribosomal RNA". It matches the Rfam family "Bacterial small subunit ribosomal RNA", at positions 29 to 523 of the family's 1533-position model. The record is from RNAcentral.
AUUGAACGCUGGCGGCAUGCCUAACACAUGCAAGUCGAGCGGCAGCACAGCCCGCAAGGGUGGGUGGCGAGUGGCGGACGGGUGAGGAAUACAUGGGAAUCUACCCUGUCGUGGGGGAUAACGUAGGGAAACUUACGCUAAUACCGCAUACGACCUCCGGGUGAAAGCGGCGGACCGCAAGGCGUCGCGCGACUGGAUGAGCCCAUGUCGGAUUAGCUAGUUGGCGGGGUAAAGGCCCACCAAGGCGACGAUCCGUAGCUGGUCUGAGAGGAUGAUCAGCCACACUGGAACUGAGACACGGUCCAGACUCCUACGGGAGGAAGCAGUGGGGAAUAUUGGACAAUGGGCGCAAGCCUGAUCCAGCAAUGCCGCGUGGGUGAAGAAGGCCUUCGGGUUGUAAAGCCCUUUUGUACGGGAAGAAAUCCUGUCGGUUAAUACCCGGCGGGGAUGACGGUACCGUAAGAAUAAGCACCGGCUAACUUCGUGCCAGCCGCCGCAGUAA